CACAAGGGAUAUUAAAAAGGGUCCAAGGACACCUUCAACCUACCGUGCUCCCACUGUGGAAACCCGAAGAAACAGGAAAGCCCCCGCUGGCACGAGUUUUCUGAGAUAUCACAGCGCCCCGGCGCGAAGAAAAUUACAACCCAUAACAAUGGAUCUCUUGGCUCUGGCAUCGAUGAAGAACGCAGCGAAAUGCGAUAAUUAAUAUGAAUUGCAGAAUUCAGUGAAUCAUCGAGUUUUUGAACGCACAUUGCGCCCUCUGGUAAUCCGGAGGGCAUGUCCGACCGAGCGUCACUGUACGCCGCUCGGGCCCCCUCUCGGGGGGGCUCGGUGUUGGGGAUCGCGGGGUUCCAGGACCCCGCGGCCCUUAAAAUCAAUGGCGAGCCCGCCGUGGCACGAAGAACCCCCCAGCGGAGUAGAACACUUUACUUGCUCGGGGGCGCCGCAGGACUCAGCCUAGCCAGGGGUUGGAGGGGUGUCCCCCCGCCCUCUCCCCCCGAACCCACCUAGAACCCGGUUGGCCUCGGGUCGGACAAGAUUACCCGCUGAACUUAAGCAUAUCAAUAAGCGGAGGAAAAGAAACCAACAGGGAUUGCCUCAGUAACGGCGAGUGAAGCGGCAACAGCCCAGAUUUGAAAUCUGGCCCCCACUGGGGGCCCGAGUUGUAAUCUGCAGAUGGGUCUUUUGGUGAAGCGGCCGUCCAAGUUCCCUGGAAUGGGACGCCUCAGAGGGUGAGAGCCCCGUACAGGCGGUCGCGGAGCCUCUGUAAAGUCCAUUCGACGAGUCGAGUAGUUUGGAAAUGCUGCUCUAAUCGCGGGGUAAACCUCCCGUAAGGCUAAAUACCGGCCAGAGACCGAUAGCGCACAAGUAGCGUGAGCGAAAGAUGAAAAGGGCCUUGAACAAGGGCGUUAAAAAGUAUGUGAAAUUGUUAUGGGGGAAGCGCUCGAUGCCAGACUCGGGGGCGGUUGGUUACCCGGCGGUCCUCGCCGGCGCACUCUUCCGCUCCCGGGCCAGCAUCGGUUCGGCGCGGGGCUCACUGCCCCGGGGAACGUGGCUCCCUCGGGAGUGUUAUAGCCCCGGCGGAUACGCCCCGUGCCGGACCGAGGACGGCGCCUUCCGGCGUGGAUGCUGGCGUAAUGGCCCUACGACCGUUUAAUACAAAAAACAACACACACAACUCCCCAAACCAAGAU
This 1190-nucleotide ribosomal RNA is filed under the name Conioscypha minutispora. RNAcentral describes it as "eukaryotic LSU rRNA". The stretch from base 516 to 1190 matches the Rfam family "Eukaryotic large subunit ribosomal RNA", at positions 1 to 672 of the family's 3401-position model. The record is from RNAcentral. Lineage: Eukaryota; Fungi; Ascomycota; Sordariomycetes; Conioscyphales; Conioscyphaceae.